GACAUGGGUUUGGUUGGGCAUAGUGGCUCACUCCUGUAAUCCCAGAACUUAGGGAGGCUGAGGCGGAGAACUGCUUAAACCCAGGAGACGGAGGUUGCAGUGAGCCAAGAUCACGCCACUGCACUCCAGCCUGGGCAACAGAGCGAGACUCCAUCUCAAAAAAAAAAAAAAAAAAAAAAAAAAAAAAAGAUGGGUUCUUGCUCUGUUGCCCAGCCUGGAGUGCAGUGGCACAAUCUGCAGCCCCAAACUCCAGGGCUCAAAGAAUCUUCCUGCCUCAGCCUCCCUAGUAGCUGGGACCAUAGGCGCACCCCACCACACCCAGCUUCGGACCAGCCUCUCUGCCCCAUUUUCCACCUUUUCUUCCUCCAUAACAUUGUCCACUGUGUGUGUCCAUUUGUUUGUUUUCUGGUCCCCUCUACAAGAGUUUGAGCUUCCUGGGGGCAGGGACUCUUGCUCACUGCUGUAUUUCCAGUGCAGAGAACAGAGACUGACAUGCAACUGCCACUUAAUAAAUAUUUGUUGAAUGAAUAGGGGGUGAAAUAUGUGAAAACUCUUGCUUCCAACUAAACAGAAAUGCUGAGCAAUACAGUAUACUUGAUUAUUUUGCUUAGCAUCCAAGAUCAUUUCUGCCAUCAUAGGAAGUCUUCAAAAGUGGCUGGCUUUUCUAAAUUCAUUAUAUAAUUACCCUCUUAAGGCUGAGUGAGCACUUAAAAAUGCAAUUCCAAAAUUGUUUUUGCCUACAUAAUAUCUCUGCUAUUGAUGUUACCAUUUAUCAAACACUGUGACGGGACAUAUCAUUAAAACACAUCUUAAGGAAAAUUCAGGCUCUGAUAAGCACUAUGGCAUAAAGCAAAGAAGAGUGGACUUGUGCCAGUCUUAGCCCUACCCCAUGUGAGCCAUAUGGCCUUAGCAAAGCCAGUUAAUCUCUUUGGUAUUUUUCUCUUUAGCUAUAAAAUGCAGAUACUCUGCUAAGUCAGCCUGAUAAGAGAUGUUGUGAGGGUCGAAUAAGAAAAUACAGAGAAGUGCUUUGAACACCUGAAAACCAUCAUGAAGGGUUAUGAUUAUAUCAAAAUAAUAGUCAGUCAUUAACUUUUGAGCACCUGGUAGAGCCAGGAAUUCAGCAAGAGCUCUGGAACCAUCUUUAUCUAAACUCCCAGACAAGCUUUCCAUGGAGGUGGGGGGAUGGUGAAUAGUAUGCACAUAAAAUACGUGCUCAUCUUGGCCUGGCACAGUGGCUCACUCCUGUAAUCCCAGCACUUUUGGAGGCCAAGGGGGGAAGAUCUCUUAAGGUCAGGAGUUCAAGACCAGCCUGGCCAACAUGGUGAAGCCCUAUCUCUACUAAAAACACAAAAUAUUAGCUGGAUGUGGUGGUGCACACCUGUAAUCCCGGCUACUCGGGAGGCUGAGGCAGAAGAAUGGCUUCAAUUCAGGAGGCAGUG
Molecule: long non-coding RNA, 1439 nt
Filed under: Macaca mulatta (Rhesus monkey)
Lineage: Eukaryota; Metazoa; Chordata; Mammalia; Primates; Cercopithecidae
Description: lncRNA (ENSMMUG00000064784.1)
Source: RNAcentral